UUGAACGCUGGCGGCAUGCCUUACACAUGCAAGUCGAACGGCAGCGCGGGAGCAAUCCUGGCGGCGAGUGGCGAACGGGUGAGUAAUACAUCGGAACGUGCCCAGUAAUGGGGGAUAGCUCGGCGAAAGCCGGAUUAAUACCGCAUACGCCCUGAGGGGGAAAGUGGGGGACCGCAAGGCCUCACGUUAUUGGAGCGGCCGAUGGCUGAUUAGCUAGUUGGUAGGGUAAAGGCCUACCAAGGCGACGAUCAGUAGCUGGUCUGAGAGGACGAUCAGCCACACUGGGACUGAGACAUGGCCCAGACUCCUACGGGAGGCAGCAGUGGGGAAUUUUGGACAAUGGGGGAAACCCUGAUCCAGCAAUGCCGCGUGUGCGAAGAAGGCCUUCGGGUUGUAAAGCACUUUUGUCAGGGAAGAAAUCCUUUGGGCUAAUACCCUAGGGGGAUGACGGUACCUGAAGAAUAAGCACCGGCUAACUACGUGCCAGCAGCCGCGGUAAUACGUAGGGUGCAAGCGUUAAUCGGAAUUACUGGGCGUAAAGCGUGCGCAGGCGGUUGUGUAAGACAGGUGUGAAAUCCCCGGGCUUAACCUGGGAAUUGCAUUUGUGACUGCACGACUAGAGUGUGUCAGAGGGGGGUGGAAUUCCACGUGUAGCAGUGAAAUGCGUAGAUAUGUGGAGGAACACCAAUGGCGAAGGCAGCCCCCUGGGAUAACACUGACGCUCAUGCACGAAAGCGUGGGGAGCAAACAGGAUUAGAUACCCUGGUAGUCCACGCCCUAAACGAUGUCAACUAGUUGUUGGGGAUUUACUUCCUUGGUAACGUAGCUAACGCGUGAAGUUGACCGCCUGGGGAGUACGGCCGCAAGGUUAAAACUCAAAGGAAUUGACGGGGACCCGCACAAGCGGUGGAUGAUGUGGAUUAAUUCGAUGCAACGCGAAAAACCUUACCUACCCUUGACAUGGCAGGAACUUUCCAGAGAUGGAUUGGUGCUCGAAAGAGAACCUGCACACAGGUGCUGCAUGGCUGUCGUCAGCUCGUGUCGUGAGAUGUUGGGUUAAGUCCCGCAACGAGCGCAACCCUUGUCAUUAGUUGCUACAUUCAGUUGGGCACUCUAAUGAGACUGCCGGUGACAAACCGGAGGAAGGUGGGGAUGACGUCAAGUCCUCAUGGCCCUUAUAGGUGGGGCUACACACGUCAUACAAUGGCUGGUACAAAGGGUUGCCAACCCGCGAGGGGGAGCUAAUCCCAUAAAACCAGUCGUAGUCCGGAUCGCAGUCUGCAACUCGACUGCGUGAAGUCGGAAUCGCUAGUAAUCGUGGAUCAGAAUGUCACGGUGAAUACGUUCCCGGGUCUUGUACACACCGCCCGUCACACCAUGGGAGCGGGUUCUGCCAGAAGUAGUUAGCUUAACCGCAAGGAGGGCGAUUACCACGGCAGGGUUCGUG
Molecule: ribosomal RNA, 1447 nt
Filed under: uncultured beta proteobacterium
Lineage: Bacteria; Pseudomonadati; Pseudomonadota; Betaproteobacteria
Description: SSU rRNA
Rfam family: Bacterial small subunit ribosomal RNA
Source: RNAcentral